Molecule: ribosomal RNA, 468 nt
Filed under: uncultured bacterium
Lineage: Bacteria
Description: partial 16S ribosomal RNA
Rfam family: Bacterial small subunit ribosomal RNA
Source: RNAcentral
GACGAACGCUGGCGGCGUGCUUAACACAUGCAAGUCGAACGGAAAGGCCCUGCUUUUGUGGGGUGCUCGAGUGGCGAACGGGUGAGUAACACGUGAGUAACCUGCCCUUGACUUUGGGAUAACUUCAGGAAACUGGGGCUAAUACCGGAUAGGAGCUCCUGCUGCAUGGUGGGGGUUGGAAAGUUUCGGCGGUUGGGGAUGGACUCGCGGCUUAUCAGCUUGUUGGUGGGGUAGUGGCUUACCAAGGCUUUGACGGGUAGCCGGCCUGAGAGGGUGACCGGCCUCAUUGGGACUGAGAUACGGCCCAGACUCCUACGGGAGGCAGCAGUGGGGAAUAUUGCACAAUGGGCGGAAGCCUGAUGCAGCAGCGCCGCGUGCGGGAUGACGGCCUUCGGGUUGUAAACCGCUUUCGCCUGUGACGAAGCGUGAGUGACGGUAAUGGGUAAAGAAGCACCGGCUAACUACGUG